This 428-nucleotide ribosomal RNA is filed under the name Bacteroidota bacterium. Its description in RNAcentral is "Bacteroidetes bacterium partial 16S ribosomal RNA". It matches the Rfam family "Bacterial small subunit ribosomal RNA", at positions 355 to 776 of the family's 1533-position model. Lineage: Bacteria; Pseudomonadati; Bacteroidota. The record is from RNAcentral.
UAGGGAAUCUUCCGCAAUGGACGCAAGUCUGACGGAGCAACGCCGCGUGAGUGAAGAAGGAUUUAGGUUCGUAAAACUCUGUUGUUAGAGAAGAACAGCGCAUAGAGUAACUGUUAUGCGUGUGACGGUAUCUAACCAGAAAGCCACGGCUAACUACGUGCCAGCAGUCGCGGUAAUACGUAGGUGGCAAGCGUUGUCCGGAUUUAUUGGGCGUAAAGCGAGCGCAGGCGGUUAGAAAAGUCUGAAGUGAAAGGCAGUGGCUCAACCAUUGUAGGCUUUGGAAACUGUUUAACUUGAGUGCAGAAGGGGAGAGUGGAAUUCCAUGUGUAGCGGUGAAAUGCGUAGAUAUAUGGAGGAACACCGGUGGCGAAAGCGGCUCUCUGGUCUGUAACUGACGCUGAGGCUCGAAAGCGUGGGGAGCGAACAGG